RNAcentral lists this small RNA (28 nucleotides) under Bombyx mori (domestic silkworm). Its description in RNAcentral is "ovarian small RNA-26356". The record is from RNAcentral. Lineage: Eukaryota; Metazoa; Arthropoda; Insecta; Lepidoptera; Bombycidae.
UCAUUGCAUAUUUGAUCUUGGGUUGAUC